GAUGAGAACGUAGCGAAAUGCGAUAAGUAAUGUGAAUUGCAGAAUUCAGUGAAUCAUCGAAUCUUUGAACGCACAUUGCGCCCCUUGGUAUUCCGGGGGGCAUGCCUGUUCGAGCGUCAUUAUAACCCCUCAAGCUCAGCUUGGUGUUGGGGCCUGCCGACUGGCAGCCCUUAAAAUCAGUGGCGGCGCCAUCUGGCUCUAAGCGUAGUAAUUUCUCUCGCUAUAGAGUCCCGGUGGAUGCUUGCCAGCAACCCCCAACUUUCUAUGGUUGACCUCGGAUCAGGUAGGGAUACCCGCUGAACUUAAGCAUAUCAAUAAGCGGAGGA
Molecule: unclassified non-coding RNA, 326 nt
Filed under: soil metagenome
Description: partial contains 5.8S ribosomal RNA, internal transcribed spacer 2, and large subunit ribosomal RNA
Rfam family: 5.8S ribosomal RNA (bases 5-119)
Source: RNAcentral